AGGCCUGAAUUUGGUCUUGGGGUGCCAUUUGUUUGAGACGGCUCCUGUUGAUCUAGGCCGACAUCUAAACUCGAAUUUAGGCCCAUCGUCCCUAACCGACUUAACUCGGAGUUCUCCCAACUCACUGUUUAAUUACCGAUUUAUUCAAUAUCGGCUGCCUUUCUUCUAACUGAGAAAAAUCCUUAACGGUUUCUUUCACAGAACCAGACGCCAUGGUGUUCAUCACAUCCCCCAACCACAAAACCCUAACCCUAAAUCUAAACCCGAAGACCACCACCCUCCAAACCCUAAAGCUCCAAAUCGAACAAAAAUCCCAGAUACCCAUCUCAGAGCAGCGCCUAUUCAUCUCUCAAAGCCUCCAAAUACUGACCCAAACCGGAUCCACCCUCCUCUCCGACCUCGGCAUCAGACCCCUCUCAACCCUGACCCUCCACAUCCCCUUGUUCGGCGGCACCCAACCGCCCAACGUCCCCAAACCCCGCCUCGAGUUCCUCAACUCCAAGCCUCCCCCAAAUUAUGUCGCUGGGCUCGGCCGUGGUGCCACUGGGUUCACCACACGAUCCGAUAUCGGGCCCGCCCGGGCCGCCCCCGACCUGCCCGAUAGGUCGGCCACGACAAUCGGUGGCGCUGCUGCUGCUGCUGCCCCGCCCGGGGUUGGCCGCGGUCGUGGGAAGCCUGAGGAAGAGGAAGAAGAUGAAGGAGAGGAUUGAGGGUAUGAUGAGAAUCAGAAGUUUGAUGAAUUCGAAGGGAAUGAUGUUGGGUUGUUUGCAUCGGCUGAGUACGAUGAUGAGGAUAAGGAGGCCGAUGCGGUUUGGGAAGCUAUUGAUACGAGAAUGGACUCGAGGAGAAAAGACCGGAGAGAAGCUCGGUUGAAAGAAGAGAUUGAGAAGUACAGAGCUUCGAACCCGAAGAUCACGGAGCAGUUUGCAAAUUUGAAGAGAAAGUUGUACACCGUGUCUGCUCAGGAAUGGGAGAGCAUACCCGAAAUUGGAGACUAUUCAUUGAGGAACAAGAAGAAGAGAUUCGAGAGCUUUGUGCCGGUGCCCGAUACGCUUUUAGAGAAGGCGAGACAGGAGAAGGAGCAUGUUACGGCUUUGGACCCCAAGAGUCGGGCAGCUAGUGGUACGGAGACGCCAUGGUCCCAAACUCCGGUUACAGAUUUGACCGCCGUAGGUGAGGGUAGAGGUACUGUGUUGUCAUUGAAAUUAGAUAGGCUUUCUGAUUCUGUUUCUGGGCUGACGGUUGUGGACCCAAAAGGGUACCUUACUGAUCUUAAGAGUAUGAAGAUUACUAGUGAUGCUGAGAUUUCUGAUAUUAAAAAGGCCAGAUUGUUGCUCAAGAGUGUAACACAGACGAAUCCGAAGCACCCACCUGGUUGGAUUGCGGCUGCAAGGCUAGAGGAGGUGGCUGGGAAGAUUCAAGCAGCCAGGCAGUUGAUUCAGAAAGGGUGUGAGGAGUGUCCCAAGAGUGAGGAUGUGUGGUUAGAGGCGUGUAGGCUUGCUAACCCGGAUGAAGCUAAGGCUGUGAUUGCCAAGGGUGUCAAGACGAUACCCAAUUCGGUGAAGUUGUGGAUGCAGGCUGCAAAACUAGAGCAUGACGAUUUGAAUAGGAGCAGAGUGUUGAGGAAAGGGUUGGAACACAUUCCUGAUUCUGUUAGGCUGUGGAAGGCGGUUGUGGAGCUGGCAAAUGAGGAAGAUGCAAGACUUCUGCUUCACAGGGCCGUGGAGUGUUGCCCCUUGCACAUUGAAUUGUGGCUUGCACUUGCAAGAUUGGAAACUUAUGAUAAUGCUAAGAAGGUCCUCAAUAAGGCAAGAGAAAAGCUAUCAAAGGAGCCAGCCAUUUGGAUCACUGCGGCCAAGUUAGAAGAAGCUAACGGAAAUACGUCCAUGGUUGGGAAGAUUAUUGAAAGAGGUAUAAGGGCCUUGCAAAGGGAAGGAUUAGCAAUUGAUAGAGAAGCGUGGAUGAGGGAGGCUGAAGCUGCUGAGCGUGCAGGGUCUGUUGCAACAUGCCAAGCAAUCAUUCGGAACACAAUUGGGAUUGGUGUGGAGGAAGAGGAUAGAAAGCGCACAUGGGUUGCUGAUGCAGAGGAAUGCAAGAAAAGGGGUUCGAUUGAGACAGCCAGAGCUAUUUAUGCUCACGCACUUACUGUGUUCUUAACCAAGAAGAGCAUAUGGCUCAAAGCUGCACAACUUGAAAAGAGCCAUGGGACUCGGGAAUCUCUUGAUGCUUUGCUUCGUAAAGCGGUGACAUAUCGACCACAAGCUGAAGUCUUGUGGCUUAUGGGAGCUAAGGAGAAGUGGCUUGCUGGGGAUGUGCCUGCUGCCCGUGCCAUCCUCCAAGAAGCUUAUGCUGCUAUACCCAAUUCUGAAGAAAUUUGGCUUGCUGCAUUUAAACUUGAAUUCGAGAACAAUGAACCUGAGAGAGCUAGAAUGCUUCUUGCCAAAGCCCGAGAAAGGGGAGGCACGGAAAAAGUUUGGAUGAAAUCAGCAAUUGUUGAGAGAGAGUUGGGGAACCUUGAUGAGGAGAGGAAGUUACUUGAUGAGGGAUUGAAGCGGUACGCUAGCUUCUUUAAAUUGUGGUUGAUGCUUGGACAACUAGAGGAACGGCUUGGUCAUUUGGAAAAAGCCAAGGAGGCUUAUGACUCAGGUCUGAAGCACUGCUCCAAUUCUAUUCCACUCUGGCUUUCUCGUGCUAAUCUGGAAGAGAAGAUGGUUGGGCUGAGUAAAGCUCGUGCAGUUCUCACGAUGGGCAGGAAGAAGAAUCCUCAGAAUCCUGAAUUGUGGCUUGCUGCUGUUCGAGCUGAAUUGAGGCAUGGUAAUAAGAAGGAAGCUGAUAUUUUGAUGGCAAAGGCUUUGCAGGAGUGUCCCAAUAGUGGUAUCUUGUGGGCUGCAUCUAUUGAGAUGGUACCCCGUCCCCAACGGAAGACCAAGAGUAUGGAUGCCCUCAAGAAAUGUGAUCAUGAUCCCCAUGUCAUUGCUGCUGUGGCUAAGUUAUUUUGGCAUGAUAGGAAGGUUGACAAAGCUAGGAAUUGGCUAAACAGGGCAGUGACACUUGCUCCAGAUAUUGGGGAUUUCUGGGCUUUAUACUACAAAUUUGAACUUCAACAUGGGACUGAGGAGAACCAAAAGGAUGUACUGAAAAGGUGUGAAGCGGCAGAACCAAAGCAUGGUGAAAAGUGGCAACCUAUUUCAAAGGCUGUGGAGAACUCUCACCAAUCAAUUGAAGCUAUCUUGAAGAAAGUGGUGGUUGCUCUUGGGAAGGAAGAGAGUGCAGCCGAAAAUAAUAAACACUAGUUCUGGCUUGUUUUUUCCAGGUUAUGUUUGGAAAACGUUGUAGUACAGAAAGAAAAUCGAUGUCUAGUGUCACUUGUCAUCCGGUUGGCAAACGUUGCUAUAAUUCUAGCUUUGCUCAUUUGAUAUAUUUCCUGGCUGAUGAAGCAUGGCUUAAUUGAUUGUUCGAAUUAUGAUGUUCCGCUAUUUGGUCAUCUAUCUUCAAGCAUCCUCUGAGCAUAGAAACAGCUUAUUGCUUGCCUGCUUGGACUUGAACACUAUGUUACUGUGCCUUAUUCUUUUAUCCUAAGAUGCAACCGGUACUUCUCGAUUUCCUACUUGAGUUUUGUAUGUGAAUUGACAAAAUUAUUUAUGCGAAUGUUUUUCUCAUAUUGCUUGACCCUGAAUUCAGCAGUAAAAUCGAUGGCAACAUAUAGUUUUUCAUUUUUUCCUUUUUUAGACUACUGUCAUGUGAGGCUCUGUAAUCUAUAGUUAUGGAAACAAAAUGUUGACAUGUCCAUGAACUGGGCUUCUUCAAUUUAAAGGGGAAAUGAGACU
Molecule: non-coding RNA, 3827 nt
Organism: Prunus mume (Japanese apricot)
Lineage: Eukaryota; Viridiplantae; Streptophyta; Magnoliopsida; Rosales; Rosaceae
Source: RefSeq, a predicted model, not a curated record